Non-coding RNA from Mycena crocata, 89 nucleotides. NCBI's taxonomy places the organism in Eukaryota, Fungi, Basidiomycota, Agaricomycetes, Agaricales, Mycenaceae. The record is from the annotation of a GenBank genome assembly.
GCGGGUGUCGUGCGAGGUGCACAGCUGCCUUUCAUUGCAAUCUUGCGAAAUGCGAGCAGCUUUUCCGGGUUCGACUCCCGGCGCCCGCC